Molecule: ribosomal RNA, 428 nt
Filed under: Actinomycetes bacterium
Lineage: Bacteria; Bacillati; Actinomycetota; Actinomycetes
Description: Actinobacteria bacterium partial 16S ribosomal RNA
Rfam family: Bacterial small subunit ribosomal RNA
Source: RNAcentral
UCGGGAAUCUUCCGCAAUGGGCGAAAGCCUGACGGAGCGACGCCGCGUGAGCGAUGAAGGCCUUCGGGUUGUAAAGCUCUGUGGGGAGAGAAGAAUAAGUUCAGGCCAAUACCCUGAAUGAUGACGGUAUCUCCUUAGCAAGCACCGGCUAACUCUGUGCCAGCAGCCGCGGUAAGACAGAGGGUGCAAACGUUGUUCGGAUUUACUGGGCGUAAAGCGUGUGUAGGCGGCUUCGCAAGUUGGAUGUGAAAUCCCACGGCUCAACCGUGGACGUGCAUCCAAAACUGCGUCGCUAGAGUCUCGGAGAGGAAGGUGGAAUGCUUGGUGUAGAGGUGAAAUUCGUAGAUAUCAAGCAGAACACAUGCGGCGAAGGCGGCCUUCUGGACGAUGACUGACGCUGAGACACGAAAGCGUGGGGAGCAAACAGG